GGAGAGGUACCCAAGUGGCUUAAGGGGACGGUUUGCUAAACCGUUAGUGGGCGUAAGCCCAGCGAGGGUUCGAAUCCCUCUCUCUCCGCCA
RNAcentral lists this transfer RNA (91 nucleotides) under bacterium. Its description in RNAcentral is "tRNA-Ser". It matches the Rfam family "tRNA". Rfam says of the family: Transfer RNA (tRNA) molecules are approximately 80 nucleotides in length. Their secondary structure includes four short double-helical elements and three loops (D, anti-codon, and T loops). The record is from RNAcentral. RNAcentral also lists the same sequence under 1 other name.